This 253-nucleotide ribosomal RNA is filed under the name uncultured bacterium. RNAcentral's name for it is "partial 16S ribosomal RNA". It matches the Rfam family "Bacterial small subunit ribosomal RNA", at positions 524 to 776 of the family's 1533-position model. The record is from RNAcentral.
UACAGGGGGGGCAAGCGUUGUUCGGAAUUACUGGGCGUAAAGGGCGCGUAGGCGGCCUUCUAAGUCAGACGUGAAAUCCCUCGGCUCAACCGAGGAACUGCGUCUGAUACUGGAAGGCUUGAAUCCGGGAGAGGGAUGUGGAAUUCCAGGUGUAGCGGUGAAAUGCGUAGAUAUCUGGAGGAACACCGGUGGCGAAGGCGGCAUCCUGGACCGGUAUUGACGCUGAGGCGCGAAAGCUAGGGGAGCAAACGGG